Molecule: non-coding RNA, 349 nt
Organism: Paramuricea clavata
Lineage: Eukaryota; Metazoa; Cnidaria; Anthozoa; Malacalcyonacea; Plexauridae
Source: the annotation of a GenBank genome assembly
CCCCCUCACACCCCUAUCAUCCAAUAAAUAGAAAACAUGAUUAGGCGAAGUUCAACUUCCGAUGUUUUGCAAACAUCUCUUAGUAUAUAUCAAUUCAAAAGUGCCCUUUCACGAAAAUCUGCCCCCCCCCUGCCAUCACAUCGUUCCGGCGUCCCUGCACAUUUCUUAUUCUAUAUUAAAUAUAUCAGGUUAAAACUUAUUCAGCUACUGAAAGCUGUCAUCCUAUAUUACCUAUAAGGAUCGCGGUAAGGACCUGUAAUAUAUAUGACAUAUCGUUCUUUGUGAAAAUUGCUUAUGUAAGAAAUUUUAUCCUAUAUUCUCAAAUAUCAUAAUUUUACCUGCAUGUACA